This 354-nucleotide long non-coding RNA is filed under the name Mytilus galloprovincialis (Mediterranean mussel). The record is from RNAcentral. Lineage: Eukaryota; Metazoa; Mollusca; Bivalvia; Mytilida; Mytilidae.
AUAUCACCUCAUUGCUAUUACAAAAACAGACAGAUUAAUUCAACCGCUCAGACAGUCCAGGAACAUGCACACAAUCUCAUACCAAAUUCCAUCCUGCCGAACACAAAUAAGACAACAAUCAUUUUUCCCACGCACAAUUAAAAUCUGGAACAGCCUUCUCCUGAGUAUUGUGAUGAGCGACUCCAUAAAGUCGUUCAAAGUAGCCGUCUCAAACUACACCUACAGCCCGUAAAUUCAUCAUGUGUAAAUAGUUUUAUCUUAAUAUUUAAAAAUAAUAAAUUAAAAAUAUGCACUACCACUAUGUAAAUUUUUGUUUUGUUUUUUGUUUACUAUCACAAAUUUGUUAUAUUUCAC